RNAcentral lists this unclassified non-coding RNA (253 nucleotides) under uncultured Rhodobacterales bacterium. RNAcentral describes it as "contains 16S-23S intergenic spacer region". It matches the Rfam family "Bacterial small subunit ribosomal RNA", at positions 524 to 776 of the family's 1533-position model. The record is from RNAcentral. Lineage: Bacteria; Pseudomonadati; Pseudomonadota; Alphaproteobacteria; Rhodobacterales.
UACGGAGGGGGUUAGCGUUGUUCGGAAUUACUGGGCGUAAAGCGCGCGUAGGCGGGCUGGUCAGUCAGAGGUGAAAUCCCAGGGCUCAACCUUGGAACUGCCUUUGAUACUGCCAGCCUUGAGUUCGAGAGAGGUGAGUGGAACUCCGAGUGUAGAGGUGAAAUUCGUAGAUAUUCGGAAGAACACCAGUGGCGAAGGCGGCUCACUGGCUCGAUACUGACGCUGAGGUGCGAAAGCGUGGGGAGCAAACAGG